GCCAUGCCGCGUGAGUGAUGAAGGCCCUAGGGUUGUAAAGCUCUUUUGUGCGGGAAGAUAAUGACGGUACCGCAAGAAUAAGCCCCGGCUAACUUCGUGCCAGCAGCCGCGGUAAUACUAAGGGGGCUAGCGUUGCUCGGAAUCACUGGGCGUAAAGGGUGCGUAAGCUGGUCUUUAAGUCAGAGGUGAAAGCCUGGAGCUCAACUCCAGAACUGCCUUUGAUACUGAGGAUCUUGAGUAUGGGAGAGGUGAGUGGAACUGCGAGUGUAGAAGUGAAAUUCAUAUAUAUUCGCAAGAACACCAUUGGCGAAGGCGGCUCACUGGCCCAUAACUGACGCUGAGGCACGAAAGCGUGGGGAGCAAACAGGAUUAAAUACCCUGGUAGUCCACGCCAUAAACUAUGAAGGCCAUCCGUUACUGGGUUUACUCCCUAGUGGCGCAGCUAACGCUUUAAGCAUUCCGCCUGGGGAGUACGGUCGCAAGAUUAACACUCAAAGGAAUUGACGGGGGCCCGCACAAGCGGUGGAGCAUGUGGUUUAAUUCAACGCAGCACGAAGAACCUUACCUCCCCUUGACAUGUCCAGGACCGGUCGCACAUAUGUGACCUUCUCUUCGGAG
This 618-nucleotide ribosomal RNA is filed under the name Bradyrhizobiaceae bacterium Se2Ps_627. Its description in RNAcentral is "bacterial SSU rRNA". It matches the Rfam family "Bacterial small subunit ribosomal RNA", at positions 391 to 1025 of the family's 1533-position model. Lineage: Bacteria; Pseudomonadati; Pseudomonadota; Alphaproteobacteria; Hyphomicrobiales; Nitrobacteraceae. The record is from RNAcentral.